AGAGUUUGAUCCUGGCUCAGAACGAACGCUGGCGGCAGGCCUAACACAUGCAAGUCGAACGAACCUUUUAGGUGAGUGGCGCACGGGUGCGUAACGCGUGGGAAUGUGCCUCUGGGAGCGGAACAACGGCUGGAAACGGCCGCUAAUACCGCAUAAUGACUUCGGUCCAAAGAUUUAUCGCCCAGAGAUCAGCCCGCGUCUGAUUAGGUAGUUGGUGGGGUAAAAGCCUACCAAGCCGACGAUCAGUAGGGGGUCUGAGAGGAUGAUCCCCCACACUGGGACUGAGACACGGCCCAGACUCCUACGGGAGGCAGCAGUGAGGAAUAUUGGACAAUGGAGGCAACUCUGAUCCAGCCAUGCCGCGUGAGUGAAGAAGGCCUUAGGGUUGUAAAGCUCUUUCAAUAGUGAAGAUAAUGACGGUAACUAUAGAAGAAGCCCCGGCUAAAUUCGUGCCAGCAGCCGCGGUAAUACGAAUGGGGCAAGCGUUGUUCGGAAUCACUGGGCUUAAAGCGUGCGUAGGCGGAUUUGCAAGUCAGGAGUGAAAUCCCGGGGCUCAACCCCGGAACUGCUCUUGAAACUGCAAGUCUAGAAUCCGGGAGGGGUUAGUGGAAUUCCUAGUGUAGAGGUGAAAUUCGCAGAUAUU
This 643-nucleotide ribosomal RNA is filed under the name uncultured bacterium. RNAcentral describes it as "bacterial SSU rRNA". It matches the Rfam family "Bacterial small subunit ribosomal RNA", at positions 8 to 698 of the family's 1533-position model. The record is from RNAcentral.